RNAcentral lists this ribosomal RNA (513 nucleotides) under Scheffersomyces stipitis. Its description in RNAcentral is "eukaryotic LSU rRNA". It matches the Rfam family "Eukaryotic large subunit ribosomal RNA", at positions 109 to 640 of the family's 3401-position model. Lineage: Eukaryota; Fungi; Ascomycota; Pichiomycetes; Serinales; Debaryomycetaceae. The record is from RNAcentral.
UCAAAUUUGAAAUCUGGCACCUUCGGUGUCCGAGUUGUAAUUUGAAGAAGGUAACUUUGGAGUCAGCUCUUGUCUAUGUUCCUUGGAACAGGACGUCACAGAGGGUGAGAAUCCCGUGCGAUGAGAUGUCUGAUUCUAUGUAAAGUGCUUUCGAAGAGUCGAGUUGUUUGGGAAUGCAGCUCUAAGUGGGUGGUAAAUUCCAUCUAAAGCUAAAUAUUGGCGAGAGACCGAUAGCGAACAAGUACAGUGAUGGAAAGAUGAAAAGAACUUUGAAAAGAGAGUGAAAAAGUACGUGAAAUUGUUGAAAGGGAAGGGUUUGAGAUCAGACUUGGUAUUUUGUAUGUCUUGCUUUCGGGUGGGGCCUCUACAGUUUACUGGGCCAGCAUCGGUUUGGACGGUAGGAUAAUGACAUUGGAAUGUGGCACCACUUCGGUGGUGUGUUAUAGACUUUGUUGAUACUGCCUGUCUAGACCGAGGACUGCGUCUUUGACUAGGAUGCUGGCAUAAUGAUCU